AGGAUGAACGCUGGCGGUACGUCUGACACAUGCAAGUCGAACGGUAAGCCACCUUCGGGUGGCCUAGAGUGGCGAACGGCUGAGUAACACGUAGGAACCUACCCCUUAGUUCGGGAUAACGGGACGAAAGCCCCGCUAAUACCGGAUAAUAUCGAAAGAUUGAAAGGUUUACUGCUGAGGGAGGGGCCUGCGGGCUAUUAGCUUGAUGGUGGGGCAAUGGCUCACCAUGGCGAUGAUGGCUAGCUGGUCUGAGAGGAUGAUCAGCCAGACUGGGACUGAGACACGGCCCAGACUCCUACGGAGCAGCAGUUCAGAUCUUGCCAAUGGGCGAAAGCCUGAUGCAGCGAC
RNAcentral lists this ribosomal RNA (348 nucleotides) under uncultured soil bacterium. RNAcentral describes it as "bacterial SSU rRNA". It matches the Rfam family "Bacterial small subunit ribosomal RNA", at positions 26 to 395 of the family's 1533-position model. The record is from RNAcentral.